GAAUUAUCGUUUAUGGAUGAUAAUAAAUAUAAAAUAAAAUAAAGAAACUCGCAGAGAGGUACAGGAGGCGUGAGGCCGAGAUGGGAUCCAAGGAAAAGAGGAAGGUGUCUUCUGGUUAGCAACUAGUAGCAACGCAGAGGCAGCCCAUGCCCAAUUGUGCUUUUCCUUUGGGUGCCCAUUUCCCUUUGCCUUAAUCAAAACUGGACCUAAUACCAACAAAAAUAUGCGUUACGGCAUUCACGUGAGUUAGACAGAGUUUGGCCCAUACCACAAUCCAAACUAGAAACAAAUACAAAUGGUUGGUAGACUCGUUGCCUGUGUAGGGUCCACGCCCUAUUUCCUUCCCCCUAACUCUAUCUCUUUAUUCGCUUCAACAGGAUUUCCUCAUUACAGCGCUUCUGAGCUGCGAGCGGUUAGGGGCACCUGUUGAUCUACAACCACAUACAUGAUACAUGGGUGAUGGGUCCUUUGCGAUUGUCAUCUUCAACCACCCUUUGUUGGCUCCAUCCCCCAACGCCAGCUUCGUGAAAAUUAAUUGACUAGAAGAAAUUAUGCACAAAAGCAGGUGGCUCACUUGCUCAUCAAGCCAUCAUUAUCAAAUUUUGUGCUCAAAAUAAAGUGAGCCAAGGCAUGAGCAACAGAGUUAAGAUCUCGCCUAGUGAUAGAGAAGGAUACAGUGUUUCAAGGCUUUUAGCCCUGUCUCAUCCUGAGCACUUCACAUUGAGGGUUUGUUCUAGAAGGAGAGAAACAAUCUCGAUAAGACUUCGGAGGAAUCUGUUUCUACUGGAAGCUCUGCAGGACAGACCCAAUUGCAUCGCACACCAAAUAUGAAUAGUCAUGUAGCUUCUACUGCUGAGAGGUAAGAUUAAAUAAGAACUUGGCUUUGUUUAGGCCAGCCUAGCUUGCAUCCGGUAACAGGAUUUCUAGUUUGAACAGCGCCAGCGGACAGAGACACACAUCUCCCUCAUUUUUCAUCUCAUCUUUUCCCCGUACCUUGUACGCUUGUAACAAUAUAUAGACUAAUAAUUAUAUUCCGCAAGUAUCCUCCUGUUACGAGACCUGAUUACGUACUCCAAAAUGUAAGUGGCAUGUCAAAACCUACAAAGCAUGCCUAUAGUCCUUAAGCAUAGGACUACAGGCAUCACUGAUUCAAUUUCCGGUAUGAUUGCAGGGUUACAGUAAUCUGUCAAUUGUUUAUAGCUACCAUCCUUAAAUUAUUCCAUCCUUAAAUUAUUCCAUCCAUAAGGUUUGCUUGUUCAGUCCGGACAGCCUUAACAUUUACUGCCAAAUAGAGCAUCCAAGUGCCUGAAUUUGUUUAGUUUCAUAUCAAAUAUGCUUACAUGAUGCCACUAGGGGAUAAAAAGUUGAGAAAAUUCCUUAUUUCCCACUAAUCUAUCAUGCCUGGCCCGGUUACCAUGCAUUUAUUUGGUUGAAUAUCCUGAAAUCAAGCACAAGAAUUCAGUCAACAGUGUAAGCCCUAUCGUCAUUAUAACAGGACCCUGAGCAUGUCCUAACAAGGUUAUUCGAAUGGGCUUGCGUUAUUACCAGUAUGAAACCGCAGCUAAACUUGGUCAAAAGCUUCUUUUAACAAGCUCAUAUUCUGCUUGCUGAGUGGGGCACCGCAAUUUAUCUGUGGUCAGAUUACUUGCAAAGAGAUUAAUAAUCAAAAGAAGAAGCUAGGAGUGAUUUCUACCAAACUUCAAACUUCUUUUUGUAUGGGCUCCUCUUCAGAUUUCUUGCCAAAAAUUCUUAAUUUCCAUCAAAGGAUAUCCGCUCAUGCAAUUAUAACAUCAGGACCCGCCUAAAACUUGCUAGAAAUGUGUUAAUAUGAUGUUUCCUUGUCAACCUAUUUCACGAAUCAAAAGCAAGAUGUAUCAACAGCGCACACAACUGUAUAUGCGCAAAUUCUAUUGUAAUAACAGGUACUUGCGUUUUCCUUAAAUAAAUGCUUCAGGGCCUGUCGAUCUCCUUUCUACUAUUGGUAUCUUUCGAGG
This 1994-nucleotide long non-coding RNA is filed under the name Theobroma cacao (cacao). RNAcentral describes it as "long non-coding RNA (TCAC_LNC003621)". Lineage: Eukaryota; Viridiplantae; Streptophyta; Magnoliopsida; Malvales; Malvaceae. The record is from RNAcentral.